GGACUACUGGGGUAUCUAAUCCCGUUUGCUCCCCUGGCUUUCGCGCCUCAGCGUCAGAAGAGGCCCAGCGUGCCGCUUUCGCCACCGGCGUUCCUUCCGAUCUCUACGCAUUUCACCGCUCCACCGGAAGUUCCGCACGCCCCUGCCUCGCUCGAGCCGAGCAGUAUCCAAGGCACUUCCCCAGUUGAGCUGGGGGCUUUCACCCCGGACUGGCUCGGCCGCCUACGCGCCCUUUAAGCCCAAUGAAUCCGAACAACGUUCGCACGGUUCGUCUUACCGCGGCGGCUGGCAC
This 292-nucleotide ribosomal RNA is filed under the name uncultured Planctomycetota bacterium. RNAcentral's name for it is "uncultured planctomycete partial 16S ribosomal RNA". The record is from RNAcentral. Lineage: Bacteria; Pseudomonadati; Planctomycetota.